Molecule: non-coding RNA, 158 nt
Filed under: Dickeya dianthicola NCPPB 3534
Lineage: Bacteria; Pseudomonadati; Pseudomonadota; Gammaproteobacteria; Enterobacterales; Pectobacteriaceae
Description: EFASI RNA
Rfam family: EFASI RNA
Source: Rfam by way of RNAcentral
UCGACACAGUAUCGAUGGCGACGUCACUAACACUGACGUGUGGAAGCAGUCUGAUUCAUUAACGAGUCAGCCCGGCAUAAGCCGCGAACGGGUGAAAUCCCCGGGGUGCUUCGCAAGAACUCAACUUAUUCGCCACCCCGAUGCACAGAUACUUGUCG